This 983-nucleotide long non-coding RNA is filed under the name Mytilus galloprovincialis (Mediterranean mussel). Lineage: Eukaryota; Metazoa; Mollusca; Bivalvia; Mytilida; Mytilidae. The record is from RNAcentral.
GUCAAAUUUUAACCAUUUUUUCGUAAAUCUUAGUAAUCUUUUACAAAAAUCUUCUCCUCUGAAACUACUGGGGCAAAUUAAACCAAACUUGGCCACAAUCAUCAUUGGGGUAUCUAGUUUAAGAAAUGUGUGGCGUGACCCGGCCAACCAACCAAGAUGGCCGCCAUGGCUAAAAAUAGAACAUAGGGGUAAAAUGCAGUUUUUGGCUUAUAACUCAAAAACCAAAGCACUUAGAGCAAAUCUGACAUUAAAAAAUUGUUAAUCAGGUCAAGAUCUUUCUGCCCUCAAAUUUUUAGAUGAAUCCGACAACCCGUUGUUUGGUUGCUGCCCCUGAAUUGGUAAUUUUAGGGAAUUUUUGCUGUUUUUGGUUAUUAUCUUGAAUAUUAUUAUAGAUAGAGAUAAACUGUAAACUGCAAAAAUGUUCAGCAAAGUUAGAUUUACAAAUAAGUCAACAUGACCAAAAUAGUCAAUUGACCCCUUAAGGAGUUAUUGCCCUUUAUAGUUAAUUUUUAGCAUUUUUCAUAAAUUUUUGUAAAUUUUUAGAAAAUAUUUUCCACUGUAAUUACUGGGCCAAGUUCAUUAUAGAUAAAGAUAAUUGUAGCAACAAGAAUGUUCAGUAAAGUAAGAUCUACAAACACAUCACCAUCACCAAAGCACAAUUAUGUCAUGAAUUUAUCUGUGUCCAUUGUUUAAUAUGCACAUAGACCAAGGUGAGCGACACAGGCUCUUGAGAGCCUCUAGUUUGUCAAAAUGAAAGUGGCCGCAUCCGUGUUCAUCCUCAACCUUUAUAUAUGUUAUGUAUUAUCAUCAAAUACAACUUACAUUUCAAUAUUAAGAAUGAACACAAAUGCGGCCACUUUCAUUUAAGACGGAAACCAUCUAAAAUUUAACUUAAAUGCUAAAAUUGUGAAGAUUUCAGUAAUUCAGCAUGACUUAAUGAUGCCAGUACCCGAUAUAUGUGCAUUGUAUUGUCAAAAGCAGCC